GUGGGGAAUCUUCCGCAAUGGGCGAAAGCCUGACGGAGCAACGCCGCGUGAACGAGGAAGGUCCUCGGAUCGUAAAGUUCUGUUGCAGGGGACGAACGGCACUAUAGCCAAUAAGUAUAGUGAAUGACGGUACCCUGUUAGAAAGCCACGGCUAACUACGUGCCAGCAGCCGCGGUAAUACGUAGGCGGCAAGCGUUGUCCGGAAUCAUUGGGCGUAAAGGGAGCGCAGGCGGAACAUUAAGCGGAUCUUAAAAGUGCGGGGCUCAACCCCGUGAUGGGGGCCGAACUGAGGUUCUUGAGUGCAGGAGAGGAAAGCGGAAUUCCCAGUGUAGCGGUGAAAUGCGUAGAUAUUGGGAAGAACACCAGUGGCGAAGGCGGCUUUCUGGACUGUAACUGACGCUGAGACUCGAAAGCCAGGGUAGCGAACGGGAUUAGAUACCCCAGUAGUCC
Molecule: ribosomal RNA, 450 nt
Filed under: uncultured bacterium
Lineage: Bacteria
Description: partial 16S ribosomal RNA
Rfam family: Bacterial small subunit ribosomal RNA
Source: RNAcentral